This 384-nucleotide ribosomal RNA is filed under the name uncultured bacterium. RNAcentral's name for it is "bacterial SSU rRNA". It matches the Rfam family "Bacterial small subunit ribosomal RNA", at positions 374 to 774 of the family's 1533-position model. The record is from RNAcentral.
GGCGAAAGCCCGAUGCAGAAACGCCGCGUGGGCGAUGAAGGCCUUCGGGUCGUAAAGCCCUUUUUGAGGGGAUGAGGAAGGACAGUACCCCCAGAAUAAGCCUCGGCUAACUACGUGCCAGCAGCCGCGGUAAAACGUAGGAGGCGAGCGUUAUCCGGAUUUAAUGGGCGUAAAGCGCGUGCAGGCGGAUUGGAGAGUUGGAUGUGAAAUCUCCCGGCUUAACAGGGGGAGGUCGUUCAAUACUUCCAGUCUUGAGUGAAGUAGAGGGAAGGGGAAUUCCGGGUGUAGUGGUGAAAUGCGUAGAUAUCCGGAGGAACACCAGUGGCGAAAGCGGCUUCCUGGACUGUAACUGACGCUCAGACGCGAAAGCUAGGGUAGCAAACG